Branchiostoma belcheri (Belcher's lancelet) is the source of this 763-nucleotide long non-coding RNA. RefSeq lists it as uncharacterized. The transcript is spliced from 4 exons. The record is from RefSeq and is a predicted model, not a curated record. Lineage: Eukaryota; Metazoa; Chordata; Leptocardii; Amphioxiformes; Branchiostomatidae.
AAAUCUGACGAGAGAAGGUUGUAAGGGUUAGCCAAGCGAGCCGUGUGCGGGGGAGAGUGUGGUAAUGACCUUCUAGAUCUAUUCUCGCGAGUGCUUGGUGCGUGCGUGCCUGCAGCACACAGGUCGUUAGGUGGUAAUACCUGCACUGUACCGGCCGAAUUACUAACGUGUUGGUGAAUACCCGAGUGCAACAAGACGCUCUACCUGCUUUUGUGUCUUCUAGAAGGAGGACUGAAGCCUCCCUGUAAAGGAGAUCACGCCUCGUCUUCUUCCACACGACUAGAGAAGGCGGAGUGACCGGUGCUCCAGACCGUUUGACACGGCCGUGUGAAUUGUCGCCCCGCACGAGACUCGCACCACCGCCUGAUCCAUGGACUGGGACCCGGAUUAAACAAUUCUUGCUGGAACUCCUGGCGUGAGAGGAGGGCAGCGUUUGGAGAAACCAUCAGAGGCUGAGCCUGGAGGGGAGGGGGAGUACUGUGUGACCUCACCAACCCAAACAAGGCGGUGUCCCGGGACUAGCCCCCCGCCACGGCAUCGCAGCUGUGGACGGGACGUCAUCCUCGGGCCAAAUCCGACAAGAACACCCUCACCUUGGGCCGGCCGUCCUCACACGUAUAUACAUCGCCAAGAAGAAGCCAUGGGAGGAAGACCCCGCCGCUGUCCUGCCGUCCUCUCCGUCCUGGUCGCCGUGCUGCUGACCUCCUGUCCGCGGGGGCAGGCGGAGCAGUGCCCGGGGAGGGUCGCGGUCCUGAACGGCGAU